CCUACGGGAGGCAGCAGUGAGGAAUAUUGGUCAAUGGACGCAAGUCUGAACCAGCCAAGCCGCGUGAAGGAAGACGGCCCUAUGAGUUGUAAACUUCUUUUGUACGGGGGUAAACGCAGACACGCGUACCUGUCUGAAAGUACCUUACGAAUAAGGAUCGGCUAACUCCGUGCCAGCAGCCGCGGUAAUACGGAGGAUCCGAGCGUUAUCCGGAUUUAUUGGGUUUAAAGGGUGCGUAGGCGGGUGGUUAAGUCAGGGGUGAAAUCCCGAGGCUCAACCUCGGAAUUGCAUUUGAUACUGUUAGGCUAGAGUAUAGUUGAGGUAGGCGGAAUGUGUGGUGUAGCGGUGAAAUGCUUAGAGAUCACGCAGAACUCCGAUUGCGAAGGCAGCUUAC
Molecule: ribosomal RNA, 394 nt
Filed under: uncultured bacterium
Lineage: Bacteria
Description: partial 16S ribosomal RNA
Rfam family: Bacterial small subunit ribosomal RNA
Source: RNAcentral